AAUGACAGCAGUGAAUAGAAAUUAAGAAAAAAUACGGACAAAGAACAAAGCUAAAAUAAGUAUUUUCAUCUUCCAACAUGAAAUCAGCAGCUGUGAGAAUUUUUGAAAACUGCAUUUGCACUCGAAACUCUAGUGGCUUCAGAGUUAAAGAAAGCAUGCUGAGAGGUCUAUCAGUGCAAAGGGUCAUCUAUGAAAUCUCCACCUAGAUCUAAGGACCACUGGGCAAACAGCAUGGUGCUAAAUAUAACCAGCUGUUUUCCCCAGGAAGCAUAUCAG
RNAcentral lists this long non-coding RNA (276 nucleotides) under Homo sapiens (human). RNAcentral describes it as "HSALNT0076762". The record is from RNAcentral. Lineage: Eukaryota; Metazoa; Chordata; Mammalia; Primates; Hominidae.